AUUGAACGCUGGCGGAAUGCUUUACACAUGCAAGUCGAACGGCAACACGGGGGCAACCCUGGUGGCGAGUGGCGGACGCGGGAGUAAUACAUCGGAACGUGCCCGGGCGUGGGGGAUAACGUAGCGAAAGGUACGCGGAUACCACAUACGAUCAGCGUCUGAAAGCGGGGGAGCUUCGGGCCUGGCGCGAUCGGAGCGGCCGAUGUCAGAUUAGGUAGUUGGUGGGGUAACGGCCUACCAAGCCGACGAUCUGUAGCUGGUCUGAGAGGACGACCAGCCACACUGGGACUGAGACACGGACCAGACUCCUACGGGAGGCAGCAGUGGGGAAUUUUGGACAAUGGGCGCAAGCCUGAUCCAGCCAUUCCGCGUGUAGGACGAAGGCCUUCGGGUUGUAAAGUGCUUUUGUAUGGAACGAAAAGGCUCUGGCUAAUACCUGGGGUUAAUGACGUUACCGGAAGAAUAAGCACCGGCUAACUACGUG
RNAcentral lists this ribosomal RNA (484 nucleotides) under uncultured bacterium. RNAcentral's name for it is "partial 16S ribosomal RNA". It matches the Rfam family "Bacterial small subunit ribosomal RNA", at positions 29 to 507 of the family's 1533-position model. The record is from RNAcentral.